RNAcentral lists this long non-coding RNA (1078 nucleotides) under Manacus vitellinus (golden-collared manakin). Its description in RNAcentral is "lncRNA (ENSMVIG00005002446.1)". Lineage: Eukaryota; Metazoa; Chordata; Aves; Passeriformes; Pipridae. The record is from RNAcentral.
GAUGGGGCUGGAGGGAGCUGGGAUGGGGCUGGAGGGAGCUGGGAUGGGGCUGGAGGGAGCUGGGAUGCUCCUGAACUGGGAACACAGUUUGACUCCUUAGGGAUCAGAUUAUCUGGGAUGCACUCAAGGAAAGCUGUGGAGCAUCCCAGCGAAUCCCAGAGCUCUCCCGAGGUGACUCUGCUCCCAGAAUCCCCCCUGGAGCAGCACAAGGGGAGGGGCAGGAUUUGGGGGAAGGGAGGGGGCCCAGGAGGUGUUUCCCACGAGCAACAUCCCAACACUCAGCCUGGGAGCUCAGGGUUUACCUGGAAUUCUGAGACACCUGGAGAUGCCCCUUAGACCCUUUAAAUCCUGGAAUGGUUUGGGUGGGAAGGGCCCUUAAAUCCCAUCCAAUCCCACCCCUGCCAUGGGCACCUUCUGCUAUCCCAGGCUGCUCCGAGCUCUGGCCAACCUCACCUUGAGCACUUCCAGGGAUGGAGCAUCCAGAGCUUCUCUGGGCACCAAACCUGGAUUGAUCCUGGACCCAACCAGCCAGAAACACCCCAAACCAUCCCUAAAUUCCCCAAAAACGUGCACAAACAGCCAAACUCAGCCCUCGGAGACACCGAUCCCGUCGCUUUUCCAGCUCUCCUCAAACCUUCUCCCUGCAAACCUUCACUCCCCCAUUCCCAAGCAGCUUUGACAGGGAAGUCAUUCAUCUGAAAAUCCAUAAAAACCCUUCCAGGCUCCCAGACUUUGCCACCAACGGAUUUAACUCUUCCACAGCCUCGCUUUUGUUCCUGGAUGGAAAACCCCCGGGAUCCAUGGGAGCAGCACCUCCUUCCAGGAAGCAAAGGGCCCUGGGGGGCCCUCACUGUACCCGGGAUGGGAGAGCACCUGGGAAGGAGAUUCCAGCUGGGUGGCACCGCUUUGGGACACGAGGAUCCAAGUUUUCACAUGCUCUUGGCUUCCCCCUCCCAAAGGAAGCUGGUUAAUCCCACUGGGAAUCCCACCAGCAGGAAUGCUGAAGGUAAAAAUGGGGUGCAAUGGGGAAAGGGCUCCCAGCAGCCAGAGGGAAGGGAUGGGAGGAGAGAGGGGCUGG